UUUUCCUACGGGGGGCAGCAGUGAGGAAUAUUGGUCAAUGGGCGGAAGCCUGAACCAGCCAAGUCGCGUGAGGGAAGAAGGCCCUGCGGGUCGCAGACCUCUUUGGACGGGGAGCAAGGCCGCCGACGUGUCGGCGGAAGGAGAGUACCCGUAGAACAAGCAUCGGCUAACUCCGUGCCAGCAGCCGCGGUAAUACGGAGGAUGCGAGCGUUAUCCGGAUUUAUUGGGUUUAAAGGGUGCGUAGGCGGGCCUUCAGGCCGGCGGUAAAAUUGCGGGGGUCAACCCCGCCGAGCCGUCGGAACCGG
RNAcentral lists this ribosomal RNA (305 nucleotides) under uncultured bacterium. RNAcentral's name for it is "bacterial SSU rRNA". It matches the Rfam family "Bacterial small subunit ribosomal RNA", at positions 334 to 636 of the family's 1533-position model. The record is from RNAcentral.